AGGACGAACGCUGGCGGCGUGCUUAACACAUGCAAGUCGAGCGGAAAGGCCUUUCGGGGUACUCGAGCGGCGAACGGGUGAGUAACACGUGAGUAAUCUGCCCAUCGCUUCAGGAUAGCCAUCGGAAACGGUGAUUAAUACUGGAUAUGACAUUCCUUCGCAUGUUGGGGUGUGGAAAGUUUUUUCGGCGGUGGAUGUGCUCGCGGCCUAUCAGCUUGUUGGUGGGGUAAUGGCCUACCAAGGCUUUGACGGGUAGCCGGCCUGAGAGGGUGACCGGCCACGACUGGGACUGAGACACGGCCCAGACUCCUACGGGAGCAGCAGUGGGGAAUAUUGGACAAUGGGCGAAGCCUGAUCCAGCAACGCCGCGUGAGGGAUGA
Molecule: ribosomal RNA, 380 nt
Filed under: uncultured soil bacterium
Lineage: Bacteria
Description: bacterial SSU rRNA
Rfam family: Bacterial small subunit ribosomal RNA
Source: RNAcentral